AGAAGCUGAAGAUGCUGCUAGGGGGCUUUAAAAUCACCAAGGUGGACUUCGGGUUGUGAGUACAUGAAGUUGCUAAUAUGGCUGAAUGGGAAGAUGAACAAAUUGAGUAUAUCAAAGAGAAAGUAACUGAGGAGGGUAAGGAAGCCGAUCUAAAGAAAGGAAGCAACUUGCUCAGGUUGAAUUGGAUGAAGCUACUUUCUUGUUGGAUCUAGAAAGCAUCGACAGUUCAUGGGACGAUUGCGCACAAAGGAUUGUUGAAUGCUAUAAGGAGGCGGGACUGCAUGAAGUUGCAAACUGUGUGGUUUACAGAGACUGAAAUAUCAACAACCUUGCAGAAUAUCAACGUCUUACACUACCCCUACGAGUUCUAAUUAGUGGCUUAUAAAGUUUUGCCUCUGGCAAAGUGUACUCUAAUUGUUUUCAGAAAAACAAGAAAAGACUUCACAAUAGUCCUUUAAAUAUGCACCCCCAUUUUGAUCUCCUCUCACACCGAGGUGAAUUGUAAAAGAACAAAAGUAAUAAUAUGUAACAAGUAACUUGCAUUGAAG
RNAcentral lists this unclassified non-coding RNA (548 nucleotides) under Hevea brasiliensis (rubber tree). The record is from RNAcentral. Lineage: Eukaryota; Viridiplantae; Streptophyta; Magnoliopsida; Malpighiales; Euphorbiaceae.